UACGUAGGGUGCAAGCGUUGUCCGGAAUUAUUGGGCGUAAAGAGCUCGUAGGCGGUUUGUCGCGUCUGCUGUGAAACCCGAGGCUCAACCUCGGGCCUGCAGUGGGUACGGGCAGACUAGAGUGGCGGUAGGGGAGAUUGGAAUUCCUGGUGUAGCGGUGGAAUGCGCAGAUAUCAGGAGGAACACCAAUGGCGAAGGCAGAUCUCUGGGCCGUAAACUGACGCUGAGGAGCGAAAGCAUGGGGAGCGAACAGG
Molecule: ribosomal RNA, 254 nt
Filed under: uncultured bacterium
Lineage: Bacteria
Description: partial 16S ribosomal RNA
Rfam family: Bacterial small subunit ribosomal RNA
Source: RNAcentral